Molecule: non-coding RNA, 25 nt
Filed under: Rattus norvegicus (Norway rat)
Lineage: Eukaryota; Metazoa; Chordata; Mammalia; Rodentia; Muridae
Source: RNAcentral
UGUAAUGUUACUGCAGAAGGAAGGC